GAUGACAGCUUGCUUCUCUGAUGUUAGCGGCGGACGGGUGAGUAACACGUGGGUAAUCGUACCUAUAAGACUGGGAUAACUCCGGGAAACCGGGGCUAAUACCGGAUAAUAUUUUGAACCGCAUGGUUCAAUAGUGAAAGACGGUUUCGGCUGUCACUUAUAGAUGGACCCGCGCCGUAUUAGCUAGUUGGUAAGGUAACGGCUUACCAAGGCGACGAUACGUAGCCGACCUGAGAGGGUGAUCGGCCACACUGGAACUGAGACACGGUCCAGACUCCUACGGGAGGCAGCAGUAGGGAAUCUUCCGCAAUGGGCGAAAGCCUGACGGAGCAACGCCGCGUGAGUGAUGAAGGUCUUCGGAUCGUAAAACUCUGUUGUUAGGGAAGAACAAAUUUGUUAGUAACUGAACAAGUCUUGACGGUACCUAACCAGAAAGCCACGGCUAACUACGUGCCAGCAGCCGCGGUAAUACGUAGGUGGCAAGCGUUAUCCGGAAUUAUUGGGCGUAAAGCGCGCGUAGGCGGUUUCUUAAGUCUGAUGUGAAAGCCCACGGCUCAACCGUGGAGGGUCAUUGGAAACUGGGAAACUUGAGUGCAGAAGAGGAGAGUGGAAUUCCAUGUGUAGCGGUGAAAUGCGCAGAGAUAUGGAGGAACACCAGUGGCGAAGGCGGCUCUCUGGUCUGUAACUGACGCUGAUGUGCGAAAGCGUGGGGAUCAAACAGGAUUAGAUACCCCUGGUAGUCCACGCCGUAAACGAUGAGUGCUAAGGUGUUAGGGGGGUUUCCGCCCC
This 789-nucleotide ribosomal RNA is filed under the name Mammaliicoccus lentus. RNAcentral's name for it is "bacterial SSU rRNA". It matches the Rfam family "Bacterial small subunit ribosomal RNA", at positions 78 to 839 of the family's 1533-position model. The record is from RNAcentral. Lineage: Bacteria; Bacillati; Bacillota; Bacilli; Caryophanales; Staphylococcaceae.